Long non-coding RNA from Felis catus (domestic cat), 11686 nucleotides. RefSeq lists it as uncharacterized. The transcript is spliced from 9 exons. NCBI's taxonomy places the organism in Eukaryota, Metazoa, Chordata, Mammalia, Carnivora, Felidae. The record is from RefSeq and is a predicted model, not a curated record.
AAAGCCACGUGUAAGUGGACCCGUGUAGUUCAAACACGUAUUUUUUCCAAGGGUUAACUGUAGUCGCGUUAUUUUAGAACUCCUUGAUUUAUUUUUUCUGCAGGCAGCAGUGAGCCAUGGAAGGUCUCUGAGCAGAGAAGCACUUAUUGGGGGCUGCCGGGACUGUGGUUCAGGAGAUGAAUCUGGCAAUAUCACGGGCACGAUGGUCAGAGGCGGACUGGUCAGUGAGGGAGGAGGGGAGUGUGGAGACAGGGUUGUCAUGGAAGCCACGCGAGGAGAGAGUUUAUUGGAGGAGGAGGAGGUGGCCAGUAGUGUCUGAUGUUGCAGAAAGCAGGUAGGGAUCAGAAGGGGGUCUUUGGAAACGGGGGGCAGAACACCAGUGGCCCGUUGGAGUCAUGGUGAUGGCAGAGUCGGGGCAGAAGCAAAUGGAAGGUGAGCCAGCAGAAGCAGCAGGCGUCCACCCCGCUCCUGAGAAGCUUGGUGGUGGUCGGAAUGAGCGAAAUGGCUCAGAAGCUUGGAGAGACUUGGCGCGACAGAGACCAGGGGGCUUAUGUUCCCCUCUUUGCUGGGAAAUCAGAAGCUACCCUGAGCCACUCGCAGGCAGUGAGGAAAGAGCUAGUGAACAGUGAGAUCUGGGAAACAGGUGUAAGGUGUGAAAAAGGGUGCACUUCAUGGAGUGGGCCCUGGACGAGGCACGGGUGGUGGCACCUGGGUGGAGGGGGGAUCAGCCUUAGAAAAGAAGGGACUUCUCUUCUCCUGAGCCCGGAGGGAAUGUGAAGAGGGCAGUGAAGACGGAAGUUUUGGGGUGGCGAUCGGGGAAGUGAAUGAUAAGGCCGCUGCAGUGGGGUAGGAGAUGGAGCUCCCUGCCCAGAGACGAGAGAGGUGGCUUCAGACCUCACAAAGGAGAAGGGCCAGAGGAGGGGGAAGGGAGGUGUGGUUAGCGAUCUUCCAAAACCCGAAGGGAAAAGGAACAAGCGUGGUCUGCGUGCCUUCGUAGAGAAGGAUCAGGACCAGUGGGCAUAUGUGGGGGGGAAGUAGAUUUUGGUUUCGUCUGGGAAGACUGUUUAGGGAACUGAAAAUGGAAUAAAUUCCCUGUCUCUUUUCCCCCUCAGGCCUCAGGUCCCCCUUGCUGUAUGCGGGAUCCUUGCCCCGGGGUGGAGAGUGGCCCAUAUGAAUUCCAUGUUCUCUCCUGGCUCUGAGACUGAUGGCCGCAGGAAUAACACUCAAAGGACGGGCAUGUGAAUUCACCUGUCUCACCAACCCCGUGUCUGGGGCCAGUGAUCACACAGAGAUCAGCUCCGAGGAAGAGAUCAUUGCAGAGCCUCCCUAUUGCCACGGCUGCCAUUGCUCUUGGGGACGACGGAUCAGCUGAACACAGCUCUGCCCCAGGUACAGUGACGACCAGGUCAGAGCAGUACCAAGAUGGCUGACAGACAGCCAGCCUCUGCCUUGUGGGUCAUGCUGUCCCAGGGAUCUCCACGCCUUUGGGAGCGAGAGCUCUGAGCGAUGAUAGAAGGCCCCAGUUUCACCUCGAACCACCUAAUUCUCCAGAAGGAAAGGGCCCAGAAGGCAAAUUGGUCUACACCCUGGCUCUGGUUAGAAGGCCCUCAGUGCAUUCCUGUGAAUCACCAUGUCCAAAGUCCUAGGGGAUUCUAUUUAUUUUGAGAGAGAAAGAGAGAGAGAGAGAGACCCCAAAGGAUUCUAGAUGUGAGUGGAGGCACCAUUUCUGAUUUGGGAAUACCUAAAACUCAACAGUGGUACGAAGAAGAAGCUUCUGCUGAGGACCUGAAUGGGCCAGGGAGCUUCGACCAAGACACGGGAGGGGGCUGAGAAGGUUUCCACCUGCAGCAUGCCUGAUGGGGAAGGCCAGAGGGAGGAGAGUGAGGACGAAGACCCUCGGCCUCCCACCCACACUCCCUUUUCUUCACUGGUGCCUUCAGAUCGGGGGCGGGUGGGGGUUGUGGUCAGGAUAAUGAUCAGGAUGUACUACUUGUCUAGAGGAACCAGAUUUUUUUACUUUUUAUUUUUUUUGAGAGCCACGUGGAAGUCAAGAAGUGGACUUGAUCUUAAGGGAGGAACAGAGAUCCUGGGUCAACCCAAGCCUCUUAGAGAAAGCGCGUGGUGGACAUUCGCCCUGGGAGCCGGGGGAUGAGGCUGUUUGUUCUUCUCCGGGGCACUGUGGAGUGUGGCUCUUGACCUCUUUGGGCCUCAGACCUCUUCAGGAUCCGGCAGAAGCUGUCUCCCUCUGCCCUGCCGGCCGCACACAUGCACAGGACAGCGUUUACGCGGCAGCCCCUCAGAAGCCCAGCUGGGCCCUGCGUUAGGAAGGAGUCCUUCAGGAAGGGGACAGCCCUGAGCCCAGGAUCCCUGGUAUCUGGGCUAAUGAGGGAUGUUAAUGACACGGAGGGUCCAGAAUGAGGAAAAUCGAAACCAGAUUUCUAUCGCGUGAGCUAAAAAGAAGCACGACACAUGUCCCGCGUUGCAAUCUUGUAAAAAAGAUACACCGGUGAAGAGAGAACGGUGAAGGCCGUGUGGAGAAAUGAAAACGAUUUGCAGAAAAUGUUUGCUGAUCCCUGGUCUAGAAGCCCGGCUCUGCACCUUGCUCUCCUCGUCUGUGUAAUGUGGAAUCCGAGUUAAGUACCGCGAAAGUUCCUUCCUGGCGUGUGGUGGAGUCAUUCUGCAUUCCAUGGUUCUCGCUCUGCCCUUGAGGGCCCGCGUUGCACACAUCUUUGUGUCACCAGCAGCCCCGUGAUGCCUGCACCGAGCAGGUGCUCAGGCAGCAUCAGCUGACUGGUGUUAAUGGUGGCAGGAGAGGGAGCUCAGAGCCCGGCCCUGUUGCCGCACGGCUGUGUGAGCUUAGGCAGCACUUUGAGUCUCUGAGCCUCAGUUUCCUCACUUGAAAAAUGGGCAUAAUGACUUAGCACCGACUUGCUAGGGUUGCGAUGAGAAUGAAGGAGAUAAGUACCCGGGGAGGUGCCUUGGGAAGUCUUCGGUGCUGUCCAAAUGCUAGCAGCUACGGUCACUGCUGUUCCUGGGCAUGUCACACAUACUCGGCUUUGUUGCCUAGUUCCAUUUGGCGUGCUUUAACUCAUAGGAUGGUUUCCCUAAGGAUGGUUGGGUUCUUGAGGGUCAAGGUGAUUCUAAAGCUGCCCAUCAGAAAGGUCCCAGGUGAGUGGUCUCAGUGAUGGGACGUGUGUGGCCCUGGGGCACCCCCUGCCUGAUCACUGCUUGCCCCUUGAGUUGUGAGGGCAGAGAUGGACGGGGAAGGGAUAGUUUAUUAAGACUUGGGGAGGGUGGGCCCCGCGAGUCUUGGUCCCUGACCAUUCCCAGGGCGGGGGAGGGAGCCAGACCUGCACAGUGGGCUCAGUCCUGCCCCCACAGCCACCUCUGUUCAUUGAGACAGAGGACUGGGCUCUCCCGCCCAGGCUGCCUGCCCCCUGCCCGGCGGAUCAUCCUGCCACAGGAUGUAGCUUCAUCUCUUGAUAACCUUGACCGGCCUUUGUUUAGCAUUUUCUUUUCAAUGAGCUCUCUCACAGACAUCAUUUUGUCUUCCAUAAGAAUCCCAUGUGGUAGGGAUUCUAUCUACCCCCCUUAGAAAUGAAGAUGCUGAGGUUCAGGGAGGUUAAGAGACUUGCCCACAGUGAGUGUCCCAGCUGGGAUGGGAUCUGCAUCCCUUAAUGCCAGGGCUCUUUCUAUCACACCGAGUUGCCUCUCUUCACCUGCCUCAGUUGUACCAAUGAACCUGUCUUCUCCCAGUCCCUCUCCCACUCCUGCGUGGCUUUGUCCCCCAGGCCUGGGAGAGUCCCCUUCACCCCCACGCUGGUAUAGAGGCUGGCCCUCUCCUACAAUGGAAACCUAGUGUGACAGCAGGGGUUCUGGAACUCUCCUCGCCUGGUCCUGACCCCUGGGUCCGGGGAGGGGGGGUAGAGAUGGCUUAGGGAAAGUGCACACUGGGGGUGCCAGGGAAGACAUGUCAGAUUCAGUUACCAUGACGUGGAAUAUUUAUGCUGCCAUGGGGCCCUGGGUGUCAUACUGCAUUAAGUGGGCACUCAGUGCCCACUCCCUCCAGCCACGAGAUCAGCUGCCUGCCCCUCUCUCCCUCCUUCCUGCUGGAUGCCAUAGUCGGUGGCAUUCCUGACCCCUGGGGAUACAGUCAGGGCCUCCUGGGUGCCCAGCCUUUGGGAGGCGCCACUUCCUAGGGACUGAGGGUUUGACUGAAGGAAGGAAGAUUUGACCCCUUAACACAUCAUUCUGGUGUCUCCAGGGGGGCAGGCUCCUAUUUCACGGUUUGGUGGGGAGAGUUUAGGUUCCGAGGACCCAUCAGACCCUCUCUGUAAGCUCAGCGCAGAGGCGAUGCCCAACGAAGCCUGGAUACAAGGGGAAGGUGGAUACAAGCCGGGAUGUCACGGGGAAGAAACUCAGACCUUGCCUCCCGAAAGGAGAAGACCCUGUUAGUCCUGUAGGGACACCCAGCAGGCCCCCGCCAUCAAUGUGGUUUCCCUUCUGCUUUGCUCAACUUCAGCUUUGUCUCUGCAACUCCCCCCCGCUUUCCUCUGUACAGCCUGAGGUUGAAGGGCAGGGCUGGGAAGCAGAGGGAGAGCAGACAGGGCACGUAACCACACCCCUGAGGAAGAAAGCGGUUCGGGGGGUGGGUACAAGGCUCUGUGGGGUACCCAGAAUAAGGAGCGAAGGGGCAAGGGGUAGAGAGCGUGAGCCUGGUGCAAGCCGAGCCCCAGGGUGCAGGGUGCAUCCUCCCCUUCCCCCCAGGCCUUCCUAGCUACCCCCUCGGGGUCUGGCCUGAGCUGCCCUCUCCAGGUCCGUUACCCAAGACCUUGUCACUGUUUAUCCAGACUCGAGGCCACUCUACAGCCUUAACCGGCCGCCAUUGCAUCCACCAGGCUAAUGCUGACCGUUAUCGCCUUCCUACCCUCGAUCCUGCAGUAACUUCCCAUCGCUGACAGCACCACAUCUAACUUUUGAGCCUGGCGCCUGUGGUCCAUCCAUGGUUUAGCCCUGCUUUGCCCUGCAGCCUGCUUCUCCCUACUCCAUACUCCAAGGCUGUCCUCUGGCCCUGGGAACGCGUACAGCCCCAGACACAGCGUGCUCGCUCCCAUCUUGAACGCUGGGACGCGCUGACACUCUGCCAGGUGGGACCGUGACCCGACUUCAUCCUCUAGAGAGAUGCUCCCCACCCUUCGUGUCUCCUCUCAAGAUCCACCUCCACCGUGAGGCUUCCCUUGGCCUCUCCUUCCACGGAAAUGCCACCCAGUGAGGCACACAUCUCCGUUGGAACGACUAUCUACUUUUACUUUGGUUAUUCACGGAUGUUUCUCCCUGACUCUUGACAGGGAGUAACUGAGGGUUGAGACAGUGUCUGAAUCACCUUGGGGCCCUCGGCAAUCGCUCUGCGUUUGACCUACGUUGCCGAUGUGUAGUAAACGGAAAACGCCCCAAAAAACGUUUGGAAAAUGCUUAGAUUAGUAAACUAAUCCGUGCCACGAGGAGUCCUCCCCGCUCCCUGUUCCUUUAGCAAUGUCCCUCACGCCUCCCCGUGGGACAGGGCGAGACGGGGCUCCGAGCCCAUCGUGUUCUGUCCAAAUUUCUUGCAUGCGAAGCCGAAUCCGGCUUCAGAGCCCAACACGCUAAGCCCAUCCGAUGAGCUGCAUGUAUUGUGGCAAAUGUCAGGCUCGGCCAGCUCCAAACUAGGUCAGGCCCGGCUGCCAGCCACCAGGAGUCGGCCAGCACUGACUGCCCAGUGGUCUGGCCAUGUGGUUGCAGCUUCUGGGCAGAGCGAGCAGGCGGGGAUGCUGCUGAAAUAGGAGGGUGGUAGCUGGGGGCGCCCUUGACCUGGGGUGGAGGAGAGGAUCCGACACUGAGGCCAAGGCAGAUUGAAAUGUUUCCCUUGCUCCGCAUUCAUGAUUUAAUUAGUGAAUUCGCCAUUCAUUCCUUCACUUAUUUACUCAACAUACGUUUACUGUACCUGUCUGGUGCCAAGGUGUAACCAACCACAGUAAGGUGAGCUGGAGAGACACCGAGGUUUGUCCUGGACACACUGGGCUGCCCAGGGGAGGGGCUGUGGAGAUCCGAGAGCCACCAUGUCCCGAGGGCCAACUGCUUGCACGGAUGCAGGAGCCGGCCUUGACCUCACACCCGGCCCGUGAGCAUGCACUCUCCACCCCCGCCCCCUGCCUGGGUGGCCACUGCCCCGACCUGAGCCCGCUUUUGCCUUUCACCAUGAAAUAGGAUGUCCGCUGCAUUAUUGUGAUUAUGCAUUUUUGUAGGUUCCCUUCACCGGUUUGAGGAAGUUCCUUCCUUUUCUCUGGUUUGCGGAGAGUUUUUAUCAAGAAUGGAUGUUGGAUUUGUGUCCAAUGCCUUUUCUGCGUCUUUUGAGAGGAGCAUCAUGGCUUUUCUUUUGGAGUCUAUUAACACACUCUUCUGUUCCAGGUUGAGCUGCCCGCUGGUUCCGGAGAAAGGACAAGAAAGCCCAGGGCUGCCCGGAAGCAGAGGCUGAGACUGAGCCUGGGGUCCCACCUUCCCUCCCUGGGGCCCUGCAAAGACUCCAGGCCUCCUGCAGGACCCUGGAUCUGAGGCUCCCACACAGACUCCAGAAUGGCCUUCCCUUCCACGUCUGAGUUCCCUUCUGCGUGGGGUCCCAGGUCUUCCUCCACCCCAUGGGCCAGAACCUUUUAUCUGGGAGCCCAGGGCUCUUUUCCCGGCCUUGCCUUGAGGGAGGUGUCUGAGUCCCGGAAGCUCACCUGCCGUCAUAGCUUUUGUCCACUUGCUUCUGAGGCACCACGCCUCGCUCUCCUGAGCGGCCAGUGCCGUGAUGAGUGUCGAGGACCAUGAUCCUCUUCACCUCUGUGUGCCUCUCUAAAAUCAAAGCCAGUCCUCUAACCAACCAACCCGGCCUCUGCUAAACAGACCAUAGCAGAGCCCUCCCACGUUAUCGACGUGUAUUUCAACCCGGGGUCUUCUGAAGAUGAUGCCUCCGUUCGCUUUAAAGGUCUCGGGCUCAUGUCAUCCCCACGAUCAUCCCAGUGCCACGUCCCUAUUUUGCAGAUGUUGAAAUGGAGGCUCAGAGCAGGUCUGUAAACCUCCCCCAGGGCCCCGCAUGAUGAGGGGGCUGACUCCCAACCCAUCCACCUCCCUGUAUUGCACUUAAACUGCCCAGGGCUGCCCGAGUCUGCCUGUUCCAACAUCACAUUCGCACCCAGGGCCCCCUCCAGUGUGCACCGCACUGGCCGCUUCCUGAAACUGUCCCGUCUUCCCAGGCAGCCACGCCCAUCCUGUCCCCUCUCCAUCUCUCCCCUCCAUCCCCUUCUCCCAAGAUUUGGUCUGCUGAGCCGCUGCAUCCCUCCAUCCGUUCUGUUCAUCCUCACUUUGGCUCGAGGGCCUGACCUAAUUUACGGGUGGCUGGUUAGGGGAGGUUGUGUCUGUGUGUGUGUGUGUGUGUGUGCACAUGUGUGCAUUUGCAUGCGUACACGUGUGCAUAUCUGGGGGACUGCAAAACAGAGGGAGAGUCUAGUGGGGGGGUAAAGAGUACCAGGCCGGGGGAGCCGAGCUGGGGAACUUCAGCUGGGCUCUGCAGAUUGCUGGCCAAGUAUAUGACCGGCAAUAGGUACUUAAUAAAUGCCCACCAAAGGGAUGCAUGUGUCCCCAGCGCGGACUCUGGAGGGCAGUAUCCAGAGCAGGGCUGCAGUGAGGCUUUCUCCUCCCAGGGCAAAGUGUCUGUCAUCUGUCCGUGGCUGCCCUCUGUGGCCUGGGUGUGUGGGGAGGGACCUCGAGCUCCCCCGUUCAUUGUCCAGUGUGUAGAUUCCAUCCUGGACGUAGAAGCCCCCUCCCCUUGCCCCUGCCCCCUGCUACGGAAGCCGUGGUGGAAACGAGCAAGCGGGACCUUGGGGACAAGUCCAGCGCUGACCGGCGCUUGUCAAUGCUAGGGGACCUCGGGCAAGUUGCCUAACCUCUCUGAGCCUCACUUCCCCUUUAGUGAAUGGAGGCUCCUCCUCUCUGCUGUGAUGGUCUCUGGGAGUUAAGUGGAUGCAAGGAGACUGCAGGGGCGUUCUCACAUGAGGACUUUCUCUCGUCUAUACAAUAGGGAUAUUUGGCUCUGUGUCACAGGGCCAGUGUGCAGGUUCCUCAAGAUGGCUCGUGUAGAGCUCUUUGCACACUGCAUGGCAUGUAGCAGGGGGUCGACAAAAGCAGCUACUUCUAGGAAGUAAGCGGCCAGCUCUCCCCCAGGCGGGUCAACCCCCAGCUUACUUCUUCCCCUGGCAAUGCAAUGCAGAUGCCGGCAGCCAAGCCCAGGAACUCUCUGGGUGUUCCAUCUUCCAGGGUUUUUUUUUGUUUUUGUUUUUGUCCCAGGCAAACCAACCACUGAUGAACUUCCUGCCUCUGGGACAAAGUGGUCCCCAGCAUGACUGUCUGGGGGUCCUGGUGGGGCUGUGUUCCUGGGCUGGAAGAGGGACUGUAUGACCUUUGGCUCUGGGGGUUUAAACUCAGCCCUGGUCUCCACCUGCCCUUUGGCGUGGGCAAGAGGAGGCAGGGUUCUGGGCCCAAGAGGCCUGGUGGGAAACACAUAGCUCGCUUGGCUGCUGGUUGGGAAGGGAGGAAAGCUCAGGGAGCAGGGGCUUGGCCUGGGGGAGCCCCAUCUUAUUCUCACCCUGGCGGCAAGAGCUGGAGCCCAGGCUGGAGGGCAGGCUGUGGGUCAGGACACCCGAGCUCCGUCCCUGACCUUUCCGGUAAUCCGUGGGCACGGUGUGAGGUCAGUCUGGGCAUGGGCUUCCCCGCUUGUGGACUGGGGUGCCCCACAGCACUCUUUCCAGCAUCAUCAAGGGGCUGAUAAGAUACCGGAGGCGGCAGACCCCUCUGUGAACGGCAGGUGCCGCCUUGCGUGUCCUCUGGGCAGGCUUCUAUCCCUCUCCCUGCCACCGUCCCUCCUCCAUCCUGUCCGGACAGCAGCCGGUGGCCCAUGGGCAGAGCCUCUCCCCAAGCUCCCCGUGGCCUGGCCGUGGCCUCACUAGAGAGCACAUUUCUGCUCCAUUAGCCGGCCAUGAAAUGUGUUCAGAGUUUCCUGACGGGCACAGAAGCUGCCGCCACAUAAAACAGGCAGAAAAUGAAACACUCAUCUUCCUCCCGGAGCUGGUAUAGGCGGGUCAGUUCUGUAUGAUCAGCCCUCAGACCGUGGGCUGGAAAGACGCAAGAUCCCAGCUCUGCUCACCACCCUGAAGAAACAACCUGCUUGUGGCAAAAAAAAAAAAAAAAAAAGGAAAGUUGAAAUACAAUCACAGUUUAGUUCAAGUUGGAUAUUAAUAGCUUCAGGGGCAGGGCUCAGAAAGAAAGAGGGGAGGGCAAGGAGAAGGGGAGAGGGAGCUGUGAACACCAUCAACAUCCAAUUUCCUUGGAGAAUCAGGAACCUGCAAGGCUCUGGUCUGGGGUGGGGGAGGAUGGGGUGCUGCUGCCUGGGCACCGUGGGGGCCCCCAGCCUCUGGCCCGCCGCCUCACCGGCCCGGACGCCUGUCUCCAGCUCCAGCUGCCCCCUUUCCAUGCCUCGGUGCGCAGUGCUCUCUGGCCGGUCCAUACAUGCCCGGGGCUGUGGGCUCUCACAUCUGUCGGAGAUGGGGCCGGGGCCACACCUGUGGGGAUGCUGCUGUGACUUACCCAUCCCUGGCUGCGUGAGCGUGGGCUGCUGACGGCUCAUAGCUGCCCCUUCUGCAGAGACCUGCCCUCUGGGCCGUGGGUUACCUCUAGCGGCUCCUCAGGGCACCCACCAGCCAGCCAAUGACGGGCUGACGCAGGGAACAGUGGGCUGAGCGCCUUGCUGGGAGUGGAGGUAAUAUUCUUGGCUGAUUGAUGUUCCAGGGUGACCCAUGCAGUGACUUGCCCUGAGACCCUCAUGCCCUUCCCUCUGUUGCUUCUCUUACUUUUUUACGUGUUUUGGCUGAAGGGGACUCCCUCAAGAAAUCAUGAAUCCCGAACCCUUGCCUCAGGCUCUGCUGUUGAGAAACCCACGCUUAAGAGCAGCUGGGUGGCCUGGAGCAGGUCAUCGGACAAUCUGAGCCUCAGCGCCCUCAACCAAUCCCUCGGGAGGUGUUGCAGGCCCAGCCAUGGAACCUAAGAGGGUAGAAGGAAGUUUUUCCUCCUCUGCAUCAUAUCCAUCACGCCCCAAAGUUUCUUCCCGCCCAUUGGGAAUCCCUCCUUCCUGCUUCUCCCCUCUUUAAAGCCUGUGGUUCUAAACUCACCUUGUAUGAAUCAUUCUGCAACUUGCUUUUUUUCACUCAGCAACAUGUCUUGGAUGUCUUUCUGUGUCGACAUGUCCAGAUCUCCACGAUGCUUUUAAACGGCUGCGCUGGAUUAUAUGCUAUAUAUGACACAUGUCAUAAGCUGUCAAAGUACAGCCUGUCUAGUCAUUGGAUUGGUUCGUCAUGGAUUUUUAAGUCGGCCGUAAUACUUUGUUUUGCUUCCACGAUUUUUAUUCAUACCGUGUCUGUAUCAUACUCUAUUUUUAUUCCUACUGGAUUCAAAGUCUACAAAGUACUCACCGAGUAGUGCUGCCCUGAAAAUUGAGGCAUCCCAAAGGGGCGCUGCUGUCCCAACCCCCCUGAGAAGUAGAUGAGGUUAGACCUGGGGUCUGGAAGGCACUGGGCUCGUCCCGGGUUCAGGAUAAGCGAAAGCGCUCAGGCAGGGUCUGGUGACCGGCCCGGGCUCGUACACGGCAGACCCCCCAGGCCUGCUCCUGGGGCUGCCCUGUUCUCUCCCUGCUUCACCUGCCUUCAGAGCUGGACUCUGACACAGGCCACCGUGCGGGUGUCUGUGGGGGUCUGCUCCCUUCCCACCCCUGAUGCCCGGGGGUCUCCCCUGCUCUCCCCCUACACCUGGGCUCUAGAGCCCUCCCUCCUCUGAACGUCCAUUUGUCGAAAAUCCUCUGCCUUCCAGGAUGGCCUUGCGGGACAGGUGCGAACACAUUUCGAACCUAGAGAAGCUCCACAGCCGUUAAAUCACAUGUUGGGUAAAAUAAUCAAAGAAUCUCCCCCAAAUUUGUCAACGGCGGCGCUGGGCCUAGCGGUUCCGUAAUGACUCCCACUUGAUGACAGAUCUCGAGAAAAUGCGUUUUGGAAGCAAUCAGUAUAUGCUGAAUAGAAUCCUAUUUUACAAGCGUUUUAUCUACUCUUAAGGACAUGGGAGAUGAGGAAAACAGAUAAGCCUCUCUAUUAAUAUUGAUUAGACCAUUAUAUAUCUGAAAAAGAGAUUUUAGUCAGAGAUGAUUGCACCUUACCAGUACAGCCUCCCUUCUUGAAUGGAGUCAUUUAAUCUGCCGCUCAGCGCUGGGGGGUGUGGGGAGGGAGGGGCACGCAGGCUUUGCUCCCUCACGCUGGGCACAGGAGGCAGGACAGGGACGCUGGUGAGAGGACCGCCAGGGCAGUUGCACACUUUCUUACCAAUCCCACAAGGGCCCGAUAAGAGGAAGAUAAAAACAGCAGCGGCAGGAAGGAUCGAGGUCAGCCUUCAGCAACAACGGUUCCGUUUUUUGUUUUUUUUGCUCUAGAAGAGUCCAGAAGUUGGAGCUAGAACACCUUCUUUUCCUGAAUAGCUUUAAGAAUAAAGACAAUCAGGGGUGCCUGGGUGGUGCAGUCGGUUAAGCGUCCGACUUCAGCCAGGUCACGAUCUCGCGGUCCGGGAGUUCGAGCCC